ACGCUCGACACCUACGGGAAGCAGCAGUCGGGAAUAUUGCGCAAUGGAGGAAACUCUGACGCAGUGACGCCGCGUAUAGGAAGAAGGUUUUCGGAUUGUAAACUAUUGUCGUUAGGGAAGAGAAAGGACAGUACCUAAGGAGGAAGCUCCGGCUAACUACGUGCCGGCAGCCGCGGUAAUCUGAGCGGGCUGGCAAGGC
This 199-nucleotide ribosomal RNA is filed under the name uncultured bacterium. RNAcentral's name for it is "partial 16S ribosomal RNA". It matches the Rfam family "Bacterial small subunit ribosomal RNA", at positions 326 to 539 of the family's 1533-position model. The record is from RNAcentral.